GUAGGUAUGUUUGUGGACAGCAUUCAGCACCAAGGGCAGGAAUGUUUGUGUAUGGAUGGUGUUUAGCACCAAGGACAGGUAUGUUUGUGU
This 90-nucleotide microRNA precursor is filed under the name Branchiostoma floridae (Florida lancelet). RNAcentral's name for it is "mir-2060 microRNA precursor family". It matches the Rfam family "mir-2060 microRNA precursor family". Lineage: Eukaryota; Metazoa; Chordata; Leptocardii; Amphioxiformes; Branchiostomatidae. The record is from Rfam by way of RNAcentral.